RNAcentral lists this long non-coding RNA (2958 nucleotides) under Canis lupus familiaris (dog). RNAcentral describes it as "lncRNA (ENSCAFG00000059090.1)". The record is from RNAcentral. Lineage: Eukaryota; Metazoa; Chordata; Mammalia; Carnivora; Canidae.
GAAUAGUUAAAUAACAAAAAAGAACAAUUUAUUACAAGAUCAAUCAUAGGACCACCCUUGAUUAAUUUUUGAAGAAUUUUAGUAGAUAAGUAUUUUAGGAGCUCAGAGAAGGAAAAAGAGGUUGCUGUGUAUUGGUGGUCUAGUCAGGCUUCCUAAUUGGAGUGGUUUGAAUUGGGUCUUGAAGGAAUAGAUAGAUACAUGAAGAGAAAGGCGGAGUGUCAACUUUUACAGAAUACCUGCUUGAGGCUAGAAACUUCUCACCUAAAUCCCAUAACCCCAUUCAAGAGGUGAGAAACAGAGGCUUCUCCUUACCUCCACCCCCUGCCAGGGAUAGGCAAUUUAUAGGCAUUAAUUUUUGGCAGUCUGAUAGGUGUGAAGUGAAAUUCAUUGAUUUUUUUUUUAAAGAUUUUAUUUAUUUAUUCAUGAGAGACACCAAGAAAGAGGGAGAGACAUAGGCAGAGGGAGAAGCAGGCUCCCUGCAGGGAGCCCAAUGUGGGACUCCAUCUGGAACUCUGGGAUUGAAGGCAGAUGCUCAACCAUUGAGCCACCCAGGUGUCCCUGAAAUUCGUUAUUAUAGCCAAACACCUCUGGGUUCUGGGUUUUAAGUCUUGGGUAAGAUGAAUUAAUGAUAGAAAAGAAAGCAUAUAUAAUUAAUAGAUCAGGAUAUACCGUUUUGGGAGAAUAGAUAUUCAGCAUACGUAGUUUGCCUAGGCCUUUAUGAGGGUGUUCUAAUUUGAGUCUCUACAGCUGAAAUCUCAACUUGGUAAUUCUGAGGAAAGUUAUCCAUUCAAUCAUUUAUUUAACAUUUUUUUGAAUUCCAACUAUGUAUAGACACUGUUACAAACACAUCAACUGUACACUCUUACACUGUUCUUGUCAUCAGGUUGCUUUCAGUUUUUUGUUUUUGUUUUUUAAGAUUUGAUUUAUUUCAGAGGGAGAGAGCACAAACAGGGAGAAAGGGGAGAGGGAGAGGGAGAAGCAGACACCCUGUUGAGCAGGCAACCCAAUGUGGGACUCUAUCCCAGGACCCUGGGAUCAUAACCUGUGCCAAAGGCAGACACUUAACCAACUGAGCCACCCAGGUGCCCUGGUUGCUUACAAUUUAAUGGAAGAAACAUGUAGUCAUGUUUACAAUAUACGGAAAUAUGAACCAGUAUUUUUGUAUGUACUCUGAGAAACCUAGGAGUCCUCCUUGAGUCAUUUUUCUCCCUUACCUCAUCCUUCUACCUUUUCGUCAGUCAUCAAGAUAGUCCAUCUAUCUCUCAAAUAUUUCUCAAAUACAUUUGUUUCCCAUUCUUUCUGCCUUUACUUCAGUUUAGCUGAUAGUCAUCUCUUACCUUGGACUACUUAAUAGCCUCAAAUUGGUUUCCCCACAUUUACACUUUCAUCCCCCUUCAACUAAUUUGACAAUUGGCCUUCAGUCUGCUCUAUCUUCCUUUGAUUCUCCAAUACAAUGACCUUCUAAGAAAUGUAUACUAGGGACACCCGAGUGGCUCAGUGGUUGAGCGUUGCCUUUGGCUCAGAGCGUGAUCCCGGAGUCCCAGGAUCAAGUCCCACAUCAGGCACCCCAAGGAGCCUGCCUCUGCUUCUAUGUGUGUCUCAUGAAUGAAUAAAUAAAUAAAAUCUUAGGAAACUGUAGAACUAAAAAGAAAAGAAAUGUAGAACUGAUCAUGUUAUCUGCUUAAAAUCCUUCUGUGGCCUGUUUAAAGCCUGGUGAGAAGGAGCCAAUGACAGGCAUAAAUUUAAAUUUAGCAAUUUUGGAGAAAAGAAUAAUAUAUAAAUUGUGCCUACUAGAAUCUAAGCUUCAUGAUGGCAGGGACAGGGACCAUGCCAGUUUUGUUCAAUGUUAUAUCCUCAAUAUCUAGCACAGAGCCUGGGCAGUGGCAGAUGUUCAGUAAAUAUUUAUUGAAUUUUUUUUUUUUUUUUAAAAAGGACUCUUCUGGGGUACCUGGGUAGCUCAGUUAGUUAAACAUCCAACUCUUGGUUUCAGCUCAGGUCAGGAUCUCAGGGUCCUGAGAUGGAGCCUCAUGUUGAGCUCUGUGUUGUGUGGAGUCUGCUCAAGAUUCUCUCUCCCAUCUCCCUCCUCCUCCGCCCCUCCUCCCACUCACACAGGCAUGCACAUGCAUGCGUUCUCUCUCUCUCAAAAAAAACCUUCUAAGGCUAGAAUGAACCCUGUAAUGUUUCAUUGGAAUUGGAGAUACAAUACAAACUCAUGAUUUUAUAAAUAUAAAUACAUAAACACAUAUGUAUGCAUAAAUAUACUUUUAAGCUCUAUCUGCUGAGAGAGCCUAAGGCAAUGACACUCCAGAACCAGUGAAUAUACCAAGAGGUGUCUCAACUCAGACUCUUUAGAGAGAUUAGUUCUUUGCUAGUUCCAAACUGGGGCAGGAAAAGUACAUGAGCUGGGACAUCUGCAGUGCCAGAAAGUAGGGAUGUGCUCAAAAAAAGACCCAGCAAUCAACCUGAAGGUAUUUUAAUGGGACAGGAGACAUUUUGAGUAACAAAAUAAUAGUAAUGAAUUAUAACUCAUGGAAUAAAGUAUGAAUUCCUGAGUCAUUAUGAUAAGAACAAAUGAAUACAUCAGGGGAGAAGGAAAAAAAACCUUCCUUAGAGUAGCAUUGCAGCUAAUGUAGAAGAGGUGAUGUAAGAGCAGAUCACCAUUUGCAAACACCACAGAUAAUUAAUGCAGGCAAGAAUCAUUGAUGGAUGCUAAAAUUACUGGGUGAAAAUAUGCUGAGAAAUAAAAUAUUUAUAUACAAAAAUCUUCCCAAAGAUAGGGCACAUGGGUGGCUAAGUUGGUCAAACAUCCAACUCUGAUUUUGGCUGUGGUUGUGAUCUCCUGGGUCCUGAUCUCAUGGGUCAUGAGAUAGAGCCCUAUAUCACGCUCUGAGCUCAGUGGGGAGUCUGCUUGAAGAUUCUUUUCUUUUGUCCCUCCCCUGACUCAUGCUGUCUCUCUCA